CGUAGGUGGCAAGCGUUGUCCGGAAUUAUUGGGCGUAAAGCGCGCGCAGGCGGCCUUUUAAGUCUGAUGUGAAAGCCCCCGGCUCAACCGGGGGAGGGCCAUUGGAAACUGGAAGGCUUGAGUACAGAAGAGAAGAGUGGAAUUCCACGUGUAGCGGUGAAAUGCGUAGAGAUGUGGAGGAACACCAGUGGCGAAGGCGACUCUUUGGUCUGUAACUGACGCUGAGGCGCGAAAGCGUGGGGAGCAAACAGGAUU
Molecule: ribosomal RNA, 255 nt
Filed under: uncultured bacterium
Lineage: Bacteria
Description: partial 16S ribosomal RNA
Rfam family: Bacterial small subunit ribosomal RNA
Source: RNAcentral